CCUAGUUAUCUGCAAUAUGAAAUAUUAAAUUUGAGUACCAACUAUAACAUAGAAGGGCAUAUACAACGGUAUUUAGAAGAUAUCUAUAUACCACCAGGUCAGCCAAUCCGUCCUACGUGGACCAUCAACAAUGAUGAGAGCGGAUGGUGUCGUCGUCUCGCGCGACGCCGGCAAAGGCUCGUUGUCCCAGAUCGUAUCGCCAGUCCUCGCCGCGUUGUAGCCCUCGUUCCCAACCGACGACGGCCUUCCUCGAUCUGGUGCGGAAGGCGGAAUCGUUGAUGGCGGCAAAGAGCAUGCUCGCACGCCAAUCUUCCACGCCAAAAUUUCUUCCUCGGUUCCUCCCCGUCCGUCUUGCCCCGGUACCCUCCAAUCUCUCGCCCCCAUCCCUUCUUCCCCCAACCACACGAUGCAUCCCCUGCGGCAUGAGAUGAGCAAGGCGGCUGCGGUGCGGCCGCGGAAGCUGCUAAACGCGGCGGCAGUGCGGGAGCAGAACGGAGUAGCGGACUGCGCGGGAGGUGAAGGGCGCGGCGACUCUUUCCGGCGUCCAGUCGCCUUCCCAGCGCCGAAGCCUUCGGCUGCGCUGAUUCUUCCACCGCCGCCUCGCCCUUCUCUGGAUGCACAGCUUGCUAGAUUUCACGCUGAGUAGUUUGUUUCUUGCAGUGUCUCGACCCGUCGGCAUUCAGCUGAUCAGCUCCACUUCGCAUAUUGCAAAGCACAGCUGCUGCACAGCCUACUGCUAUUUCAUUCUGUCUAGUAAGGCUCAAAAGCCCCCAAUUCUGCCUACUGAAUGUUAGGUCGUGAUUGUUAGGAUGGAUAAGGAGCUAUGCAGGAACACAAAUCCCCUCCGUUUCCAGCUUAUGCAGGCUGCACAAGCAUCGCUGGCGCAAAAGGUCUCAGUUCCGCUCACCUCACCUGCCGCAUCUCCUCACCAGUCCACCACCAUGCCUCCGCCGGCGACCUUCUGCGCCAGCAGCGGGGCUGGCACCCCAGCAAAGGCUGCCGCUUUCGGUGGCUCGGCAGGACACGACGGUGCCGGCUCUGACUCGUCCCAAAGGCGCCGCCUUCAGCAUCCGGCCGGAGUUUCUCGCGGUGGGCGGGGUCCUAGCGCCGGCGAUGCUGAUGAUUUAGAGCAAGCGGCAUGUGGUCGCGGCGACUCUCGCGUCAGUGGCGCUGUUCAAGAUUGACGUCGGCGGCCGCUGCCGGAGACGAAUAAACAGGAGCUGGAUUUGUGCGGCCUCGGCCUAGUCUCGCCAAUUCGGGAGCAGAGUCGCCGGCCAAGACGCCUAGGUUGAGCUGCUCUGACUCCGACACGGGGAGCAAGGUCCCACCAUCGGUGAGAGAGCGCAUUGCCGUGGGUCGCUUUGGUGCCAAUCAUCCUCGUCGGUCUCGUGGCCGGACAGCUCCCCGCGGUGGUGCUCACUGAGUCACUGUGCUCUGCGCCGUGUUCUUCAUCUCGGUGGAGGGAACACUAGCCCAGUGAUGACCCCGUCAAAUCCAACUCGGCGGCCAGGUCACUGAAGCUGCUGCUCCUCGAAGCAGCACGCAGAGAAGCAAUGAUGAAUCCAAUUUUGGUUGUGCCUAGAUUCGAUUCACCAUGUGAGAAUUGGAUUUUGAUGCUCAUCAGUCAAUUUUAAAGUUAUGUGGGUUCAAUUUUGUAAUUCUCGAUCUGCAACCUUCCGUCUCUGUUCUUUUUUAUUUUUCUUUCCUUCGCGUGUGUGAACAGAGAUAGCGUAAUUUCCUUGU
This is a long non-coding RNA of Setaria italica (foxtail millet), 1743 nucleotides long. RefSeq lists it as uncharacterized. The transcript is spliced from 2 exons. Lineage: Eukaryota; Viridiplantae; Streptophyta; Magnoliopsida; Poales; Poaceae. The record is from RefSeq and is a predicted model, not a curated record.